ACAGCCAGAGAGCAGGUGGAGAUGAGGUGAGUCGUCCAGCAGAUUGAUGAUCUGGGUAUAUACCUCAAUAUCUAUACACUGAUGUAUUUACAACAUUCUGCGCCGAACAGCUAGUCUAUAGAAUUUAGAUUCAAGAACAAUAUUCGGUUUUCCCCCUCUAAAACGAUGUCAACUUGUUCGACCUCUAGCAAUUUUUCGGCUGGUCAAAUGCGAGAAGUAUAGGGAAAUUCAGGGAACAGAUGUGAAAAUAGAAAGCGAAAUGAAAAAAGAGACAGAUAGGUGAAACACAGUUAACCGCCAAAGAGAAAAUGUCUAGUAUGUAUGGAACGAGAUGGCAGGAUAAGGACUCUUUGACACGGUCAUGGCGCAGAAUGCGAAUAGGAAUUGGCUGAAAUUUAUCACAACACGGGAGCGUAUGUCGGGGACAGGUUGCCAAUUUGGUUUUGGGUCAUAUAAUAUCUAUUCAUCAUCACCAAGGCCGACCAAAAAAUCACGCGUUAGUUCAUAGCUGAGCCAACUGCUCGCCAUGCUUGGGGCCACUUUGAGACAUCACUACAGCGACUAGUUAGACAGCAAUCAAGAAAGUAAAGGAAACCCCGUCUUACAAUGGAUAUGUGCAUGUUUGUGCAACAGCUCCUGAUAUUGCGCCGGCCAACAACUUGCGGUAAGGACUAGGGUUGAGGUCUCCAUCAGGCGUAAGGUACUUUCGUACUGACUCAUAAGUCAUAAAAUUCAAUCCAACCUUUUAAAUGCGUUUAGAGUUUGUCAUUGGGAUAAUGGGGUCCGUUUUAGUGAUUCAACACUUACAUAAGGGGCAACUCCGGCAAUAGUGGGGAUUAUUCCGCGGUACAGCGCAAGGAAGCCGCCUUCAGUCUUGUACAUCAACCGCAUUGUUUGGAAUAUUCCAGGCAACUGCUUUUCUUGUCCUUUCCGCAAUUCCCUAAACGACGCUGACUGGAUCGAAAGUCGUGUCCUUACGAUAUCUAACGGAUAAGUAAAUGUGACAGACGUGAUACCCGCGAUACCUCCACAUAUUAAGCGACGAAGAGGAGUAAGUUCGGCCCCAGGGGCCGGCUCAAAGAGCUGAGGUCUUUGUUAGCAAAUAAACAGUAAAUAUCGCAACACGGGUUGGAGAAUCCGAUAGCGUGAAGUAGUAGCGAUCAAGAUGGCAUUAAAUUUAUUAAAAAUGAAAUUAAGCAAGAAAAGGGAGAGUAAAU
This 1217-nucleotide small RNA is filed under the name Histoplasma capsulatum. RNAcentral's name for it is "hypothetical RNA". The record is from RNAcentral. RNAcentral also lists the same sequence under 1 other name. Lineage: Eukaryota; Fungi; Ascomycota; Eurotiomycetes; Onygenales; Ajellomycetaceae.